This 253-nucleotide ribosomal RNA is filed under the name uncultured bacterium. Its description in RNAcentral is "partial 16S ribosomal RNA". It matches the Rfam family "Bacterial small subunit ribosomal RNA", at positions 524 to 776 of the family's 1533-position model. The record is from RNAcentral.
UACGUAGGGUGCAAGCGUUAAUCGGAAUUACUGGGCGUAAAGCGUGCGCAGGCGGUCGCGUAAGCCAGAUGUGAAAUCCCCGGGCUUAACCUGGGAACUGCAUUUGGUACUGCGUGGCUGGAGUGCGGCAGAGGAAGGUGGAAGUCCUGGUGUAGCAGUGAAAUGCGUAGAGAUCAGGAGGAACACCGAUGGCGAAGGCAGCCUUCUGGGCCAGCACUGACGCUCAUGCACGAAAGCGUGGGGAGCAAACAGG